GGCGGACGGGUGAGUAAUGCUUGGGAACAUGCCUUGAGGUGGGGGACAACAGUUGGAAACGACUGCUAAUACCGCAUAAUGUCUACAGACCAAAGGGGGCUUCGGCUCUCGCCUUUAGAUUGGCCCAAGUGGGAUUAGCUAGUUGGUGAGGUAAGGGCUCACCAAGGCGACGAUCCCUAGCUGGUUUGAGAGGAUGAUCAGCCACACUGGAACUGAGACACGGUCCAGACUCCUACGGGAGGCAGCAGUGGGGAAUAUUGCACAAUGGGGGAAACCCUGAUGCAGCCAUGCCGCGUGUGUGAAGAAGGCCUUCGGGUUGUAAAGCACUUUCAGUAAGGAGGAAAGGUUAGUAGUUAAUACCUGCUAGCUGUGACGUUACUUACAGAAGAAGCACCGGCUAACUCCGUGCCAGCAGCCGCGGUAAUACGGAGGGUGCGAGCGUUAAUCGGAAUUACUGGGCGUAAAGCGUAC
RNAcentral lists this ribosomal RNA (471 nucleotides) under uncultured Pseudoalteromonas sp. Its description in RNAcentral is "bacterial SSU rRNA". It matches the Rfam family "Bacterial small subunit ribosomal RNA", at positions 97 to 570 of the family's 1533-position model. The record is from RNAcentral. Lineage: Bacteria; Pseudomonadati; Pseudomonadota; Gammaproteobacteria; Alteromonadales; Pseudoalteromonadaceae.